CGAGUGGCGGACGGGUGAGGAAUACAUCGGAAUCUGCCUAUUUGUGGGGGAUAACGUAGGGAAACUUACGCUAAUACCGCAUACGACCUACGGGUGAAAGCCGGGGACCUUCGGGCCUGGCGCAGAUAGAUGAGCCGAUGUCGGAUUAGCUAGUUGGCGGGGUAAAGGCCCACCAAGGCGACGAUCCGUAGCUGGUCUGAGAGGAUGAUCAGCCACACUGGAACUGAGACACGGUCCAGACUCCUACGGGAGGCAGCAGUGGGGAAUAUUGGACAAUGGGCGCAAGCCUGAUCCAGCCAUGCCGCGUGGGUGAAGAAGGCCUUCGGGUUGUAAAGCCCUUUUGUUGGGAAAGAAAAGCAGUCGGUUAAUACCCGAUUGUUCUGACGGUACCCAAAGAAUAAGCACCGGCUAACUUCGUGCCAGCAGCCGCGGUAAUACGAAGGGUGCAAGCGUUACUCGGAAUUACUGGGCGUAAAGCGUGCGUAGGUGGUUUGUUAAGUCUGAUGUGAAAGCCCUGGGCUCAACCUGGGAAUUGCAUU
RNAcentral lists this ribosomal RNA (539 nucleotides) under bacterium EP1.26. RNAcentral's name for it is "bacterial SSU rRNA". It matches the Rfam family "Bacterial small subunit ribosomal RNA", at positions 92 to 627 of the family's 1533-position model. The record is from RNAcentral.